GACGAACGCUGGCGGCGUGCUUAACACAUGCAAGUCGAACGGUGAACCUCUUCGGAGGGGAUCAGUGGCGAACGGGUGAGUAACACGUGGGCAACCUGCCCCCGGCUCUGGGAUAACUCCAAGAAAUUGGGGCUAAUACCGGAUGUUCACCGCUUCCCGCAUGGGUGGUGGUGGAAAGGGUUUCCGGCUGGGGAUGGGCCCGCGGCCUAUCAGCUUGUUGGUGGGGUAGUGGCCUACCAAGGCGACGACGGGUAGCCGGCCUGAGAGGGUGACCGGCCACGUGGGGCCGGGGACGGGCCCCGGCCCCCGCCGGGGGGGGGCGGGGGGGAAUUUUGCGAAGGGGGGGGAGGCCUGACGCGGCGGCCCGGGGGGGGGGAGGACGGCCUGCGGUUGUAAACCCUUUUCCAGGGGGCACGGGGCGCAAGGGACGGUCCCUAAAAAAAAAGCACCGCCCACCUAGGUC
This 463-nucleotide ribosomal RNA is filed under the name uncultured bacterium. RNAcentral's name for it is "partial 16S ribosomal RNA". It matches the Rfam family "Bacterial small subunit ribosomal RNA", at positions 28 to 507 of the family's 1533-position model. The record is from RNAcentral.